RNAcentral lists this ribosomal RNA (568 nucleotides) under Bacillus anthracis (anthrax bacterium). Its description in RNAcentral is "bacterial SSU rRNA". It matches the Rfam family "Bacterial small subunit ribosomal RNA", at positions 78 to 629 of the family's 1533-position model. The record is from RNAcentral. Lineage: Bacteria; Bacillati; Bacillota; Bacilli; Caryophanales; Bacillaceae.
GCUUGCUCUUAUGAAGUUAGCGGCGGACGGGUGAGUAACACGUGGGUAACCUGCCCAUAAGACUGGGAUAACUCCGGGAAACCGGGGCUAAUACCGGAUAAUAUUUUGAACUGCAUGGUUCGAAAUUGAAAGGCGGCUUCGGCUGUCACUUAUGGAUGGACCCGCGUCGCAUUAGCUAGUUGGUGAGGUAACGGCUCACCAAGGCAACGAUGCGUAGCCGACCUGAGAGGGUGAUCGGCCACACUGGGACUGAGACACGGCCCAGACUCCUACGGGAGGCAGCAGUAGGGAAUCUUCCGCAAUGGACGAAAGUCUGACGGAGCAACGCCGCGUGAGUGAUGAAGGCUUUCGGGUCGUAAAACUCUGUUGUUAGGGAAGAACAAGUGCUAGUUGAAUAAGCUGGCACCUUGACGGUACCUAACCAGAAAGCCACGGCUAACUACGUGCCAGCAGCCGCGGUAAUACGUAGGUGGCAAGCGUUAUCCGGAAUUAUUGGGCGUAAAGCGCGCGCAGGUGGUUUCUUAAGUCUGAUGUGAAAGCCCACGGCUCAACCGUGGAGGGUCAUUGG